This 643-nucleotide ribosomal RNA is filed under the name uncultured bacterium. RNAcentral describes it as "bacterial SSU rRNA". The stretch from base 1 to 536 matches the Rfam family "Bacterial small subunit ribosomal RNA", at positions 338 to 873 of the family's 1533-position model. The record is from RNAcentral.
CCUACGGGAGGCAGCAGGGAGGAAUAUUGGACAAUGGGCGCAAGCCUGAUCCAGCCAUGCCGCGUGCAGGAAGAAGCAUCUAUGGUGUGUAAACUGCUUUUGUACAGGAAGAAACACUCCCCCGUGAGGGAGCUUGACGGUACUGUAAGAAUAAGGACCGGCUAACUCCGUGCCAGCAGCCGCGGUAAUACGGAGGGUCCGAGCGUUAUCCGGAAUCAUUGGGUUUAAAGGGUCCGUAGGCGGUUUAAUAAGUCAGUGGUGAAAUCUGGUCGCUCAACGAUCAAACGGCCAUUGAUACUGUUAGACUUGAAUUAUAAGGAAGUAACUAGAAUAUGUAGUGUAGCGGUGAAAUGCUUAGAUAUUACAUGGAAUACCAAUUGCGAAGGCAGGUUACUACUUAUGGAUUGACGCUGAUGGACGAAAGCGUGGGGAGCGAACAGGAUUAGAUACCCUGGUAGUCCACGCCGUAAACGAUGGAUACUAGCUGUUCGGAGCAAUCUGAGUGGCGUAGACGAAGUAGAGUAAGUAUACCUACCGUACGGGUAGGGUACGGUUACGUCGAACGAAGUAAGUAAACGUUAAAACGUAAAAGUUAAGUACGGUACGUAGAGAGUAGACGACGACGACGACGAGGAGGAGGAGG